GGGCUAUGGCUCAGUGGUUGAGCAUCUGCUUUGCAUGCAGAAGAUCCCAGGUUCAAUCCCUGCCAUUUCCA
RNAcentral lists this transfer RNA (71 nucleotides) under Podarcis lilfordi (Lilford's wall lizard). RNAcentral describes it as "tRNA.Ala". It matches the Rfam family "tRNA". Rfam says of the family: Transfer RNA (tRNA) molecules are approximately 80 nucleotides in length. Their secondary structure includes four short double-helical elements and three loops (D, anti-codon, and T loops). The record is from RNAcentral. Lineage: Eukaryota; Metazoa; Chordata; Lepidosauria; Squamata; Lacertidae.